UACGUAGGGAGCGAGCGUUAUCCGGAUUUAUUGGGUGUAAAGGGUGCGUAGACGGCUUUUUAGGUCUAAGGUUUAAGCCCGGAGCUUAACUCCGGUUCGCCUUAGAAACCGAUUGGCUUGAGUAUGGUAGAGGCAAGUGGAAUUUCUAGUGUAGCGGUAAAAUGCGUAGAUAUUAGAAGGAACACCAGUGGCGAAGGCGACUUGCUGGGCCAUUACUGACGCUGAGGCACGAAAGCGUGGGGAGCAAAUAGG
RNAcentral lists this ribosomal RNA (252 nucleotides) under uncultured bacterium. RNAcentral describes it as "partial 16S ribosomal RNA". It matches the Rfam family "Bacterial small subunit ribosomal RNA", at positions 524 to 776 of the family's 1533-position model. The record is from RNAcentral.